UACGUAGGGGGCAAGCGUUGUCCGGAUUUAUUGGGCGUAAAGAGCGUGUAGGCGGCCUGAAAGGUCAGCUGUGAAAACUCGAGGCUCAACCUCGAGACGUCGGUUGAAACCAUCUGGCUAGAGUCCGGAAGAGGAGUGUGGAAUUCCCGGUGUAGCGGUGAAAUGCGCAGAUAUCGGGAAGAACACCCGUGGCGAAGGCGGCACUCUGGGACGGUACUGACGCUGAGACGCGAAAGCGUGGGGAGCGAACAGGA
This 254-nucleotide ribosomal RNA is filed under the name uncultured bacterium. Its description in RNAcentral is "partial 16S ribosomal RNA". It matches the Rfam family "Bacterial small subunit ribosomal RNA", at positions 524 to 777 of the family's 1533-position model. The record is from RNAcentral.